UAAUGUAGUAAUUAUCCAAGUAUGUAUUUUUGGUUAUGUGUUGGGACCCAAUUAUUAAUUGGGUGUUAUUUUGGUGUUGACAGUUCGGGAAUCUGUCAUCCAGCAGCUGGGGUUGAGUCUGCGGGACUUCAACAAUGUAGGGUUAUGUCUACGGGACUUCAGCAGUGUGAGGUGAGUUUUCUUCCAGUAGGAAUGGGUCUACGGCCACAAUGUCGACCCGUUUAGUUAGCAUUAGUUACGGACUACGGUCUGAUGCAGUAGUUAGAGUGCUUGAUGUCUUUGUGAUUCAAGCAUGUUUUGUGUUACGUGUUCCGGACUCUGGUCCGAUGUAGUAUGUAGUGUAUGUGUUCAUGCUAGUUGAUAUGUUUAUGCUAUGGUCGGUCAGUUUCCGGACUUUGGUCCGAUACAGGGGACGGGGUCCUAGUCAGUUCCGGACUUCGGUCCGAUGCAGUUUUCGAACUUCGGGCCGAUGNCGGUCCGAUGCAGUUUUCGAACUUCGGUCCGAUGUAGUGGGAAAGGCCCAAUAUGUGUUUAUAUGUUAUUGUAUGGUAUGUGGUAGUUUGGGGGAGCUCACUAAGCUUCGUGCUUACAGUUUCAGUUUUGGUUUCAGGUACUCAGUUUUCAAAAGAGGAGCACGUGAAGGUUGUAGUGCACACACCAUUUGUUCAGCCUAGGAUGUUUAUACUCUGAUACACAUGACAGUUGUUAUAAUAUUUGAGAUAUAUUGCUUAUGAUUUUUAUAUGAGGUUUAUCAACUCUGGUUUUUAUUAUAAAAUUAAACGAAAUUUUCAGACUGUGUUUUUGGGACGUUUCAAGUUGGUAUCAGAGCCUUGGUUUGAGGAAUUCGGGCACACUUCCGGGUGUGUCUGAACUCAAACUAAGGAAGUGGUAUAAAGUUUAUAAGAGAAAAACCAUGUUUACAAAAGAAUUUUGAGAAAAGAAAACAAUUUUAGAAAAAAGUAUAAAGAAAAGAGUUUUAGAAAAACCGAAAAGAAUUUUGAAAAGAGAAAAGGGUGUGGUGCAUGCAAUCAUCCGAGCUAAAGUAAGUACUCCCAAAGUACCCAUACAAGUUCAUAUGAUAUGUGUAUCAGCUUUAUGAGAACCGCAUGCUAGAUUAGAACGAAGGAUCUAGGAAUGAUGCCUUAUGUGCCUAUUAUAUGUGUACCAGCUUAUUGAGAACUGCAUGCUAGUACAGAUUAGUUAGUAUGAUAGCCAGAGUAGUAUAUGCUUGAUUAUGUGUACUCAACGCCCGAAUGCUGCUUGCUUUGUGAUUUUUGGAGUUCUAGUUGUCUUCCAAUAACUAUAAACAAAUAUGUUAAGCUACAUAUUGCAAGGACUAAGUAAUUUCAGAAGGUUAGUUCUAGCUCUAUUGCACAACACUUGUUUGAGUCCAACCGUUGUAGGGUAGGAUCUUUCAUUUGAAGAAUUAUCUAUUCUAAGUAAUAUGUGAUAGUAUUCGCGAGCUAGUUAGGGAAAUAAAGCAGGGACUUCUUAUGCAGCUGAUGGCGGAGAGUGGGUUGGUGAUUACCCUAGGCCAAGCCUCGGAUGAGAUUAGCAAGAGAUCAACAGUAGUAGUAGAAGGGACUUGGUGGAGUCGAGGCAGUACUUGAGGAUAGUACGGAUAGAUGUGGAAGGUAGUAGGGGCCCAUACUACUGAAAGCAGAGGAUCUGUACUCGAAUCAAGGAAGGCUGAGAUAAGACCAGAGAACUUGUAGUGUGUGAGAUCCCUCAAGUUUUGAUGAGUAUUAUGAUGAUCGUGAUGGACCAGAUGGUAGUUCUGGUGUCGAC
This 1788-nucleotide long non-coding RNA is filed under the name Lactuca sativa (garden lettuce). RNAcentral describes it as "long non-coding RNA (LSAT_LNC007411)". Lineage: Eukaryota; Viridiplantae; Streptophyta; Magnoliopsida; Asterales; Asteraceae. The record is from RNAcentral.